AAUAUUAGGGGUGGCAAUAAAAUCCAUUAACACAAUAUCCAUCCAAUCCAUCCUAUAAUUUAUCCAUCCAAUCCAUCCAUUAAACAAAAAAAUAUUUUAAUGGAUUUAUCCAAUCCAUCCAUCAAAUUAUAUGGAUGGAUUCAAUCCAUCCAUCUUAUUUUAUAAAUCCAUUGAAUAUUAUUUUAUCAUUUAUUAAAUAAAACUUUUUAAUAAAAAAUAUAUUAAACAUUUAAUAUCUUUUCUUAAAACACAAUAAGAAAAUAAAAUAUAUUUGAAAAUUAGAAAAACAUUUCAGAUUCAAUUUCUUGUUUCCAGAUUUCUUCUUCCCCCAAACUUCAGGAAUCACCACGUUUUCUCCAAACGAACGAAGAACCCUAAUUUUGUAUUCCCCCAAUUUCAUCUUCCCCCAAUUUCACGAUGAAACCAUUUCGCUAGCAAUUCAACUCAACAUUUUGGUGCUACAAUUGCAAUUCAACUCAACGUUUCGAUGCUACUAUCUCAAUUCAUCUCAGCAUCGCAAAUUCAAAUCAGCAUCGCAACUUAACGUUUCGUAUUCUCAUAAUCGUUGCCUCUUCUGCUGGAUAGUCUCUCUGUAGCUUUUCAAGAUUUCUCUUCGGCGACUGUUGAUAUAUUUUUUGCGUUUUCUACUUCAAAGGUAAACCUAUAGUAUUAUCUGGAAAAACCCAUGAAUGAGUAGGUGGAAUCAAGGUUUUCGGUUGUGGCUUCUGGUGUAAAUCAUCAAGUUUAAUCAAGAGAGCUUCAACAUACAUCAUUGAUGAGUUUCUGCUCUCAUUGUUUUGGAUUCGGAAAUAGAUUCAAUGAAAUUAGCAGGGUGAAUGGAGAGUGAUUUGUGGAGUGGUGAAGAGCAAAGAAUGGUUGAAGAAGAUAAUGAUGGAGAGUGGUGGGAGAUUCUGUUAUAUAGAGGUUGAUGAAAGUUGAGAACUUUGAAUCUGAGCCAUAGAUUGAAGAAUUAUGUUACAAGUUGAAAGGUGUAUAGUGUGGGGACAAAUGGACACAAGAUUGGAUGUAUUCAGGUGUGAUUGAUCUGGUGACGGUAUAUGGACUGGUUUUUGCAAGGUGAUUCAGUAAGGUUCUUUAACUUGAAGAUGGAGCAAUGAUGAGAAAAGUUUUGGCAUGCAAAGAAGAGGUGGAAACGUGAAGAAAUUGAGUGGCUUCAAUCAGUUGGAAUUCUCUUGUAGCUUAAGGACUUUGACUUUAUGCAACUUGAAUUCAACUUGUUUCAACUUGGGAUAUGUAGCUAGUAGUGUAAUCUUGAAUUUGAAUCUUGUUUCACUUAGGAAUUCUCUUUUGUAAUUCAAGAACUUGAUGUAAUUGAAAUCCAAAGGUUUGUACUAA
Vicia villosa (hairy vetch) is the source of this 1356-nucleotide long non-coding RNA. RefSeq lists it as uncharacterized. The transcript is spliced from 5 exons. The record is from RefSeq and is a predicted model, not a curated record. Lineage: Eukaryota; Viridiplantae; Streptophyta; Magnoliopsida; Fabales; Fabaceae.